This 72-nucleotide transfer RNA is filed under the name Bacteriophage sp. Its description in RNAcentral is "tRNA-OTHER". RNAcentral also lists the same sequence under 1 other name. The record is from RNAcentral.
CGUACGUUGGAGCAGAGGUCAGCUCGUCCGCAACAGAGCGGAAGGUCGAUGGUUCGAAUCCAUCACGUACAA